CUUAGUGAAAAUGCCCAACAAUGGGGAGAGGGAACUCGAAGAGUCUACCUGCACUAGAUAGACCCAAGUGGAGGGAUGGGGUUACCAACCCAUAGUCAAAAUUAUUGAUCCAGAAUUGUUCAUGUCUAAAAGGACUGCAGGGACAAAAAUGGAGAAGAGAUUGAGGACAGAAGCCUAUCACAACUGUCUUCUGAGAGACCCUCAGCAGCUGACUGAGAUAGAUCAGAUACUUACACCAAACCAUUGGACUGAAGUUGGGGACUCCUAUAGUUGGACUAGGGGAAGAAUUGAAGAAGCUGAAGAGGGCGGCCCCAUAGGAAGAUCAGCAGUCUCAACUAACCUGGAUCCCUGGGAGAUGCCAAAGAUGGAGCUAUCAACCAGUCAGCAAACAUGGGCCGAUCUGAGGGCCCAGCACUUAUAUAGCAGACGAUUGCCUGGUCCGGCAUCAGUGGGAGAAGAUGAACCUAAUCAUUGAGAGACAUGAGGCCCCAGGGAAGGGGAUACUCAGGAGUGAGGGGGAGAAGGUGAGCACCUUCUUGAAGGCAAGAUGGGAUGGGAUGAGGAACUGGGGAGGUGUGAAAGGGGAGUAAUAGCUGGACUAUAAAUAAAUAAUAUAAUUUAAAAAAUGAAAA
Long non-coding RNA from Rattus norvegicus (Norway rat), 632 nucleotides. RefSeq lists it as uncharacterized. The record is from RefSeq and is a predicted model, not a curated record. Lineage: Eukaryota; Metazoa; Chordata; Mammalia; Rodentia; Muridae.